This 72-nucleotide transfer RNA is filed under the name Candidatus Falkowiibacteriota bacterium. RNAcentral describes it as "tRNA-His". It matches the Rfam family "tRNA". From Rfam's summary of the family: Transfer RNA (tRNA) molecules are approximately 80 nucleotides in length. Their secondary structure includes four short double-helical elements and three loops (D, anti-codon, and T loops). Lineage: Bacteria; Candidatus Falkowiibacteriota. The record is from RNAcentral.
GUGGCUAUAGUAUAGUGGUUAUUACACCGGGUUGUGGUCCCGGAUAUGAGGGUUCAAUUCCCUCUAGCCACC